AUGGACUGCUUCUUGACACGUGGAUACCUAAAGGGCUCUAGGAAUGUGCAGUUGUUGGGCAUUGCCUGCAUCACCCUAGCCACCCGCAUUGAAGAGAACCAGCCAUACAAUAGCAUCAUGCAGAAGUAUUUCAUGGUAGGGAUCAACCUUUAUAGCCGGAGCGAGGUCGUCGCCAUGGAGUGGCUGGUUCAGGAGGUCCUGGACUUCCAAUGCUUCGUCAUGACAGUCCACAAUUUUCUCUGGUUCUAUCUAAAGGCAACAAAAGCAGACGACAAAGUUGAGGAUCUGUCCAAGCACCUGGCCCUGCUCACACUUCUGGACUAUAAGCACCUCUCCUACUAG
Molecule: ribosomal RNA, 342 nt
Filed under: Triticum aestivum (bread wheat)
Lineage: Eukaryota; Viridiplantae; Streptophyta; Magnoliopsida; Poales; Poaceae
Description: partial small subunit ribosomal RNA
Source: RNAcentral